UCCCUGGAGGAUUAAUGGUGAGGCCUUGGUGCUCUCACUGAUGUGGCCUGGGUUCGAUUCCCAGCCAGGGAA
Non-coding RNA from Pangasianodon gigas (Mekong giant catfish), 72 nucleotides. NCBI's taxonomy places the organism in Eukaryota, Metazoa, Chordata, Actinopteri, Siluriformes, Pangasiidae. The record is from the annotation of a GenBank genome assembly.